CUCUACCAACAUGCUACCCUGAACAUGCCUGGUCUUGUCUGAACUCUGACACUAAGCAGAGCUAGGCCUGGCUGAUA
This 77-nucleotide ribosomal RNA is filed under the name Sorex araneus (European shrew). Lineage: Eukaryota; Metazoa; Chordata; Mammalia; Eulipotyphla; Soricidae. The record is from RNAcentral.